GCUUGUCUAAAGAUUAAGCCAUGCAUGUCUCAGUAUAAACUUCUAUACGGUGAAACUGCGAAUGGCUCAUUAAAACAGUUAUAAUUUAUUUGAUGGUCGCUUACUACAUGGAUAACUGUGGUAAUUCUAGAGCUAAUACAUGCACAAAAACCCGACUUCGCAGAAGGGUUGUGUUUAUUAGAUGGAAACCAAUGCGGGGCAACCCGGUAUAUGGUGAUUCAUAAUAACUUUCGGAUCGAUCUUCGGAUCGAUGCAUCAUUCAAGUUUCUGCCCUAUCAGCUUUGGAUGGUAGGGUAUUGGCCUACCAUGGCUUUAACGGGUAACGGAGAAUUAGGGUUCGAUUCCGGAGAGGGAGCCUGAGAAAUGGCUACCACAUCCAAGGAAGGCAGCAG
RNAcentral lists this ribosomal RNA (392 nucleotides) under Mallomonas akrokomos. Its description in RNAcentral is "partial small subunit ribosomal RNA". It matches the Rfam family "Eukaryotic small subunit ribosomal RNA", at positions 30 to 431 of the family's 1831-position model. The record is from RNAcentral. Lineage: Eukaryota; Synurophyceae; Synurales; Mallomonadaceae.